RNAcentral lists this ribosomal RNA (497 nucleotides) under uncultured bacterium. RNAcentral describes it as "partial 16S ribosomal RNA". It matches the Rfam family "Bacterial small subunit ribosomal RNA", at positions 28 to 507 of the family's 1533-position model. The record is from RNAcentral.
GAUGAACGCUGGCGGCGUGCCUAAUACAUGCAAGUCGAGCGAACAGACGAGGAGCUUGCUCCUCUGACGUUAGCGGCGGACGGGUGAGUAACACGUGGAUAACCUACCUAUAAGACUGGGAUAACUUCGGGAAACCGGAGCUAAUACCGGAUAAUAUAUUGAACCGCAUGGUUCAAUAGUGAAAGACGGUUUUGCUGUCACUUAUAGAUGGAUCCGCGCCGCAUUAGCUAGUUGGUAAGGUAACGGCUUACCAAGGCGACGAUGCGUAGCCGACCUGAGAGGGUGAUCGGCCACACUGGAACUGAGACACGGGGCAGACUCCUACGGGAGGCAGCAGUAGGGAAUCUUGCGCAAAGGGCGAAAGCCUGACGGAGCAACGCCGCGUGAGUGAUGAAGGUCUUCGGAUCGUAAAACUCUGUUAUUAGGGAAGAACAAAUGUGUAAGUAACUAUGCACGGCUUGACGGUACCUAAUCAGAAAGCCACGGCUAACUACGUG